UACGUAGGGGGCGAGCGUUGUCCGGAUUUAUUGGGCGUAAAAGGCUUGUAGGUGGCCACGCCAAGUCGGAUGUGAAAUCUCCCGGCUCAACUGGGAGGGGUCAUUCGAUACUGGCGGGCUCGAGGCCGGUAGGGGGUAGCGGAAUUCCCGGUGUAGUGGUGGAAUGCGUAGAUAUCGGGAGGAACACCAGUGGCGAAGGCGGCUACCUGGACCGGUUCUGACACUGAGGAGCGAAAGCGUGGGGAGCGAUCCGG
Molecule: ribosomal RNA, 254 nt
Filed under: uncultured bacterium
Lineage: Bacteria
Description: partial 16S ribosomal RNA
Rfam family: Bacterial small subunit ribosomal RNA
Source: RNAcentral